AACGCACCUUGCGCUCCUUGGUAUUCCGAGGAGCAUGCCUGUUUGAGUGUCAUUGAAUUCUCAACCAAUGUCCUCUUGAUUUUUCUCGAGGCAUGGCUUGGAUGAUUGGGGGUUGCUGGCUGUCCUAGUCGGCUCUCCUAAAAUGUAUUAGCAAAAGAAGGGGUCUCUCUAGCGUAUACGGCCUUGGACAUGAUAAUGAUUGUCAUGGGCUGGAGCGGUGGUUCAGACUUUUGAUUAUGCUUCCUAAUACUCUAUUGUAUCCCUUGACCUCAAAUCAGGUAGGACUACCCGCUGAACUUAA
This 301-nucleotide unclassified non-coding RNA is filed under the name uncultured Boletales. Its description in RNAcentral is "sequence contains 5.8S rRNA gene, ITS2, 28S rRNA gene". The stretch from base 1 to 52 matches the Rfam family "5.8S ribosomal RNA", at positions 103 to 154 of the family's 154-position model. The record is from RNAcentral. Lineage: Eukaryota; Fungi; Basidiomycota; Agaricomycetes; Boletales.